AAUGAACGUUGGCGGCGUGGAUUAGGCAUGCAAGUCGUACGAGAAUCGUAGCAAUACGAGGAAAGUGGCGAAAGGGAGAGGAUUACGUGGGAAUCAACCCUCAGACCUGGGAUAGCGGCGGGAAACUGCCGGUAAUACCAGAUAAUGUCUGCGGACCAAAGGUGUGAUUCCGUCUGGGGAUGAGCCCACGUCCUAUUAGCUAGUUGGCAGGGUAAUGGCCUACCAAGGAAAUGAUGGGUAGCGGGUGUGAGAGCAUGACCCGCCUCACUGGGACUGAGAACUGCCCAGACGCCUACGGGUGGCUGCAGUCGAGAAUCUUCGGCAAUGAGCGCAAGCUUGACCGAGCGACGCCGCGUGCGGGAUGAAGGCCUUCGGGUUGUAAACCGCUGUCGUAGGGGAGCAAGAAAUGAGGGUUCUCCCUCAAAUUUAAGCGAUCCUAGGAGGAAGGACGGGCUAAGUUCGUGCCAGCCGCCGCGGUAA
RNAcentral lists this ribosomal RNA (480 nucleotides) under uncultured bacterium. RNAcentral describes it as "partial 16S ribosomal RNA". It matches the Rfam family "Bacterial small subunit ribosomal RNA", at positions 29 to 523 of the family's 1533-position model. The record is from RNAcentral.